Molecule: microRNA precursor, 63 nt
Filed under: Anolis carolinensis (green anole)
Lineage: Eukaryota; Metazoa; Chordata; Lepidosauria; Squamata; Anolidae
Description: Aca-Mir-216-P2a_pre stem-loop
Source: RNAcentral
AAAUCUCUGCAGGCAAAUGUGAUGUCUUGACCAGCAAUCUCACAGUUACCAGCAGAGGUUCUG